RNAcentral lists this ribosomal RNA (498 nucleotides) under uncultured bacterium. RNAcentral describes it as "partial 16S ribosomal RNA". It matches the Rfam family "Bacterial small subunit ribosomal RNA", at positions 30 to 523 of the family's 1533-position model. The record is from RNAcentral.
AUUGAACGCUGGCGGCAUGCCUUACACAUGCAAGUCGAACGGUAACAGGUCUUCGGAUGCUGACGAGUGGCGAACGGGUGAGUAAUACAUCGGAACGUGCCUAGUAGUGGGGGAUAACUACUCGAAAGAGUGGCUAAUACCGCAUGAGAUCUACGGAUGAAAGCAGGGGAUCGCAAGACCUUGUGCUACUAGAGCGGCCGAUGGCAGAUUAGGUAGUUGGUGGGAUAAAAGCUUACCAAGCCGACGAUCUGUAGCUGGUCUGAGAGGACGAUACGCCACACUGGGACUGAGACACGGCCCAGACUCCUACGGGAGGCAGCAGUGGGGAAUUUUGGACAAUGGGCGAAAGCCUGAUCCAGCAAUGCCGCGUGCAGGAUGAAGGCCUUCGGGUUGUAAACUGCUUUUGUACGGAACGAAAAGCCCCGGGUUAAUACCCUGGGGUCAUGACGGUACCGUAAGAAUAAGCACCGGCUAACUACGUGCCAGCAGCCGCCGCCG